Molecule: non-coding RNA, 46 nt
Organism: Mus musculus (house mouse)
Lineage: Eukaryota; Metazoa; Chordata; Mammalia; Rodentia; Muridae
Source: Rfam
CCAAAGGCUCUUUUCAGAGCCACCCACUUUCUCAAAGAGAGAGCUG